RNAcentral lists this ribosomal RNA (474 nucleotides) under uncultured bacterium. Its description in RNAcentral is "bacterial SSU rRNA". It matches the Rfam family "Bacterial small subunit ribosomal RNA", at positions 328 to 793 of the family's 1533-position model. The record is from RNAcentral.
UGACAGUACUCUACGGGGAGGCAGCAGUGGGGAAUAUUGCACAAUGGGGGAAACCCUGAUGCAGCCAUGCCGCGUGUGUGAAGAAGGCCUUCGGGUUGUAAAGCACUUUCAGUAGGGAGGAAGGUAGUGUAGUUAACACCUGCAUUAUUUGACGUUACCUACAGAAGAAGCACCGGCUAACUCCGUGCCAGCAGCCGCGGUAAUACGGAGGGUGCGAGCGUUAAUCGGAAUUACUGGGCGUAAAGCGCAUGCAGGCGGCCUGUUAAGUCAGAUGUGAAAGCCCGGGGCUUAACCUCGGAAUUGCAUUUGAAACUGGCAGGCUAGAGUCUUGUAGAGGGGGGUAGGAAUUUCAGGUGUAGCGGUGAAAUGCGUAGAGAUCUGAAGGAAUACCAGUGGCGAAGGCGGCCCCCUGGACAAAGACUGACGCUCAGAUGCGAAAGCGUGGGGAGCAAACAGGAUUAGAUACCCUGGUAG